AUGCGCGAAUACCCUUAACGGGUCAAAUAGUUAGAAAAUAGUUAAGUCGAAUGUAUGUUGAGUAUGGUAUGUAAUUUAGUUUAUUCUAGUUUCAUUUGAUGAAUUAUGUAUGAACUUGGAAGAUCAUGCAUAAAUUAGUUGUACAUUGUGCAUAGCUAGUAGUACGCACGCCAAGUGUUUGAUGAAAUGUCUAGGUGAAGUUAGGAUGUGAGAUUGUAUGAAAUGGCUUGACAUAUAUGAAUGAAACAUGAUAAUGAUGUAAUUAGUAGUAUACUAACUUGAGGAAUGUGCUUUAGAUGGAACUCAUACAAGAAUUCGGGUUGAAGGUAUGUGUUGGUCAAGACUAUGCAUUAGAAGCUUGUACAUUGUGCUUGAACGGGCGAUGCUCCCCAUGUGUUUUUAUUAAUCACUUAAUUUCAAUCAAGAAGUGAAUGUGUACUAAAUAUAUAAUAUAUGACCAUGCUAGUAAAGGAUGAUGUUAUGAAUUACGUUAGGUUGUCUAACUGAACAAUGUGGUUGACAAUUUAUGUUGUAUGCGUGUUAGUGAAAGUCAAUGUAGAUAAGAGCUGGAAAAUGUGUAUUAAUAUGAAUAAGCAUGAGUACUAACAUUAUUAUGGCAUGACGACAUGAAAGGAUAGGAACCACACUAGCAUGGACCAAGCAUGAAAGGCUAACGGGUCGAAAUGGGGCAAGGAAGCGGUUACGAACAUGGAUGCACGAGGUAAGUGAUUUCCGUAAUCACUUCGUAGUACAAGUAAGUAAUAAAGUGUUGUAAUGAAUUAAAUAUGAUGUUUGAGGUCAAAUAUGUGUUAAAGUCUUUCGUCGUAAAUGAUGGGUUUAAGGUUGACCAAAAUGCCCAUGAUGGGUAUUUUGGGGUAAACGAACUUAAAGGUGGUUUAGAAGCAAGUUGUUCGAUUAGAGUAAUGUUUUGGGCAGGUCUGGAAGUGGGGAUGAUGGUUUGGUCAGUCAUAGACCAAUUAAUGCGCGAAUACCCUUAACGGGUCAAAUAGUUAGAAAAUAGUUAAGUCGAAUGUAUGUAAGUUAAGGAUUUCCGUAAUCCGGAGGUAAGAUUUUAUGUUCAUAUGAUAGAAUGUGAAUUUACAAGCAUGUAGGAAGAAACGGGAGGUCAAACGGGUAAACGGUUCAAAAGUUACGUGCGUUUUAGUGCGUACGGACGACGAAACGAACCUGCAGAAAACUGCAAAAACUAGAGGGCGUCGCCGACGGGUAGGGGUACCCAAAGGUGGGAUCCUAA
This 1255-nucleotide long non-coding RNA is filed under the name Helianthus annuus (common sunflower). The record is from RNAcentral. Lineage: Eukaryota; Viridiplantae; Streptophyta; Magnoliopsida; Asterales; Asteraceae.